AGUGAACGCUGGCGGUAGGCCUAACACAUGCAAGUCGAACGGCAGCACAGUAAGAGCUUGCUCUUGCGGGUGGCGAGUGGCGGACGGGUGAGGAAUACAUCGGAAUCUACUUUUUCGUGGGGGAUAACGUAGGGAAACUUACGCUAAUACCGCAUACGACCUACGGGUGAAAGCAGGGGAUCUUCGGACCUUGCGCGAUUGAAUGAGCCGAUGUCGGAUUAGCUAGUUGGCGGGGUAAAGGCCCACCAAGGCGACGAUCCGUAGCUGGUCUGAGAGGAUGAUCAGCCACACUGGAACUGAGACACGGUCCAGACUCCUACGGGAGGCAGCAGUGGGGAAUAUUGGACAAAGGGCGCAAGCCUAAUCCAGCCAUACCGCGUGGGUGAAGAAGGCCUUCGGGUUGUAAAGCCCUUUUGUUGGGAAAGAAAAGCAGCAGGUUAAUACCCCGCUGUUCUGACGGUACCCAAAGAAUAAGCACCGGCUAACUUCGUG
RNAcentral lists this ribosomal RNA (492 nucleotides) under uncultured bacterium. RNAcentral's name for it is "partial 16S ribosomal RNA". It matches the Rfam family "Bacterial small subunit ribosomal RNA", at positions 29 to 507 of the family's 1533-position model. The record is from RNAcentral.